UGGGGAAUCUUGCGCAAUGGGCGAAAGCCUGACGCAGCGACACCGCGUGGGGGACGAAGGCCUUUCAGGUCGUAAACCCCUUUCGGCAGGGACGAAGCGAUCUCGUGACGGUACCUGCAGAAGAAGCCUCGGCUAACUACGUGCCAGCAGCCGCGGUAACACGUAGGAGGCGAGCGUUGUCCGGAAUCAUUGGGCGUAAAGAGCGCGCAGGCGGCUUGGCAAGUCGGGUGUGAAAUCCCGGGGCUCAACCCCGGGACUGCAUUCGAUACUGUCAGGCUAGAGGUAGGUAGGGGAGAUCGGAAUUCCUGGUGUAGCGGUGAAAUGCGCAGAUAUCAGGAGGAACACCGGUGGCGAAGGCGGAUCUCUGGGCCUUACCUGACGCUCAGGCGCGAAAGCUAGGGGAGCGAACAGG
This 412-nucleotide ribosomal RNA is filed under the name Bacillota bacterium. Its description in RNAcentral is "Firmicutes bacterium partial 16S ribosomal RNA". It matches the Rfam family "Bacterial small subunit ribosomal RNA", at positions 355 to 776 of the family's 1533-position model. Lineage: Bacteria; Bacillati; Bacillota. The record is from RNAcentral. RNAcentral also lists the same sequence under 1 other name.